RNAcentral lists this ribosomal RNA (296 nucleotides) under uncultured bacterium. RNAcentral's name for it is "partial 16S ribosomal RNA". It matches the Rfam family "Bacterial small subunit ribosomal RNA", at positions 333 to 626 of the family's 1533-position model. The record is from RNAcentral.
CGCGUCCUACGGGGCGCAGCAGUGAGGAAUAUUGGUCAAUGGGCGGGAGCCUGAACCAGCCAAGUCGCGUGAGGGAAGACGGUCCUAUGGAUUGUAAACCUCUUUAGGCGGGGAGCAAUGCCGGGCACGUGUGCCCGGAGGGAGAGUACCCGCAGAAUAAGCAUCGGCUAACUCCGUGCCAGCAGCCGCGGUAAUACGGAGGAUGCGAGCGUUAUCCGGAUUUAUUGGGUUUAAAGGGUGCGUAGGCGGAGUUUUAAGUCGGCGGUAAAAUGGCCGGGCUCAACCCGGGCCGGCCG